AAAAAUACAAUAAAAUAAUUACAAUUUUUUAUUUUAAAUAAUAAAUUAAAUAAUAAGUACCCAAAUUUUAAGUAGAGGAUAGUGGUAUCCGACUAGUUCGUCAGCCCUCAUUUUAUGUACGACUCAUCCAACCGAACCGACCCCAAAGCCUGGAGAUUCUCUGUCCACUCCUCAUAUAUUUCAUCUUUUUCAGGUUUUCAUAUAUGCUUUCUUAUUUUAUUUUAAUUUUAUCAAUAUAUAUGCUUUCUUGAAAUAUGCGAAACGAGACCAAAAAGCAUAUAACGGCAAAUCAAAUCUUCAUCGCAAAAACUUUCAAAAUUCCAAAUGAUUAUUCUGGAUUUCCCCCCUUUCCUUCCUUCACCUUUUCAUCACGUGGAGUCCGUCAAAAACCCAAAAAUGAAUUACUCCUAGUUAACAUUAUUUAAAGGAUUAUCCGCGUAUAAAUACAUAAUUUUGAGGAGAAUUAACACAUUAAAUUUUGAAAGAAGUAAAAAAUACAUAAAUUUUGAAAGAAGUAAAAAAUACAUAAAUUUUAGUAUUAUAUUAAUUUUAUCAUAAAUUUAAUUUUUAGAUAUUCAAACUUUAUGAAAAUCCUACUAUUUGUAAGUUUAAUGUUUGUAAAUCCUCUCAAAACAAUGUUGUUUAGAGAUGACCUAUAGAAAAAAAAGAUGACCUAUAUAAUGUUGUUUUUAAAACAUCCAAGAAGUACACAUCGACAUUCCGUUAAUUUGAGCGAAAAUUGAAUUUAUAGUAGAAUUGUUACAAUAUUAAAAUUCAUGUAUUUUAAUUCAUUUCAAAGUUUAUAUGCAAAAUCAAACUAUCCCCAAAUUUUGAUAUAUGUAAAUGCUAAUAACCCUUCAUAGUGUUAUACUACUCCACAACAUGCAAAAAAGAAAAGAAAAUUGCAAGUAGCGGUGACGAACAAAAAAAUUGCGAAGAUUUCAAGAAUCAUUUAUAAUUAGAAAAAGUAUUGAAGAUUUGAACACUACUCCUUCUUUCCUCAAUCCUCAAAAUACAGAUCACUAGAUCAGAACAGAGCCAUAUAACAUACAUAUUCUCCAAUCAAUCUACACCUUCACAUUUGCAAACUACACAAAUUAACACAAAUUGCCCCCACCCCCCUCAAAAAAAAAAAAAACAAAAAAACAAAAAAAACAAAUAUCAGAUUGAAUUAACUAUUAAGCUCCUAAUGAACAGCCAAAAUUUAUUUCCAAUUAGCAAUUUGUUUUUUAGAAAAAAAAAAGAAAAAAAAACUCAUAGAUUCUUACAGGCGUAGAUGAUGAAUGAGAAAUCGAGCUUAUCCUGAUCCUUGCGCAUCAUCUUCUCCUCCAACCACAAUCUGCUAUCCAUCCCGCUUCUAGUCCUGAACAUAAACACCGCAUAUCCCGGGCCGG
RNAcentral lists this long non-coding RNA (1394 nucleotides) under Salvia miltiorrhiza (redroot sage). RNAcentral describes it as "long non-coding RNA (SMIL_LNC004752)". Lineage: Eukaryota; Viridiplantae; Streptophyta; Magnoliopsida; Lamiales; Lamiaceae. The record is from RNAcentral.